CAAGUCGAACGAUGAACCACUUCGGUGGGGAUUAGUGGCGAACGGGUGAGUAACACGUGGGCAAUCUGCCCUGCACUCUGGGACAAGCCCUGGAAACGGGGUCUAAUACCGGAUACUGACCCUCGCAGGCAUCUGCGAGGUUCGAAAGCUCCGGCGGUGCAGGAUGAGCCCGCGGCCUAUCAGCUUGUUGGUGAGGUAAUGGCUCACCAAGGCGACGACGGGUAGCCGGCCUGAGAGGGCGACCGGCCACACUGGGACUGAGACACGGCCCAGACUCCUACGGGAGGCAGCAGUGGGGAAUAUUGCACAAUGGGCGAAAGCCUGAUGCAGCGACGCCGCGUGAGGGAUGACGGCCUUCGGGUUGUAAACCUCUUUCAGCAGGGAAGAAGCGAAAGUGACGGUACCUGCAGAAGAAGCGCCGGCUAACUACGUGCCAGCAGCCGCGGUAAUACGUAGGGCGCAAGCGUUGUCCGGAAUUAUUGGGCGUAAAGAGCUCGUAGGCGGCUUGUCACGUCGGUUGUGAAAGCCCGGGGCUUAACCCCGGGUCUGCAGUCGAUACGGGCAGGCUAGAGUUCGGUAGGGGAGAUCGGAAUUCCUGGUGUAGCGGUGAAAUGCGCAGAUAUCAGGAGGAACACCGGUGGCGAAGGCGGAUCUCUGGGCCGAUACUGACGCUGAGGAGCGAAAGCGUGGGGAGCGAACAGGAUUAGAUACCCUGGUAGUCCACGCCGUAAACGGUGGGCACUAGGUGUGGGCAACAUUCCACGUUGUCCGUGCCGCAGCUAACGCAUUAAGUGCCCCGCCUGGG
This 805-nucleotide ribosomal RNA is filed under the name Streptomyces rubrogriseus. RNAcentral describes it as "bacterial SSU rRNA". It matches the Rfam family "Bacterial small subunit ribosomal RNA", at positions 58 to 877 of the family's 1533-position model. Lineage: Bacteria; Bacillati; Actinomycetota; Actinomycetes; Kitasatosporales; Streptomycetaceae. The record is from RNAcentral.